This 200-nucleotide ribosomal RNA is filed under the name uncultured bacterium. RNAcentral describes it as "partial 16S ribosomal RNA". It matches the Rfam family "Bacterial small subunit ribosomal RNA", at positions 8 to 197 of the family's 1533-position model. The record is from RNAcentral.
AGAGUUUGAUCAUGGCUCAGGACGAACGCUGGCGGCGUGCCUAACACAUGCAAGUCGAACGAGGUCCAUCCGGUGGCAACACUGGAGAAGACCUAGUGGCGAACGGGUGAGUAACACGUGAGCAACCUGCCCCGAAGAUUGGGAUAACCCCGGGAAACCGGAGCUAAUACCGAAUACCCCCACCGAGUCGCAUGGCCUGG